GGAUGUGAUCCCAGGACUGACAUAGAGGGUGAGGAUUAAAUGAAAUAGCUCUGAUAAAGUUGUGGAUACACACCUGGCACGUAGCCAACACUCCAUAAAUGUUAGUUAUUUCAAGGACAGUUUUGAAGCCGCCACAGUGCCUGCCUGAGACAGGUGUCCUAAAGGAGCUGGUGUGUGAAAUGACUGAACAGAGGAACCAAAGGGAGAACAUGGAUCACUGCCUGGAUGGAUGACUCGUAUGCAGAGAAAGGAGACUGCCCUUGUUUGGAGAUAAUGGAAAGAGUGCCUGUUCAAAGAUUCUCUCCCACUGCUCUGUCCUGUGCAAUGUUCUCAUUAGAGCUGACUUUCUCCGAGAUUUAGAAUGAAUGCUCUGAAAAUGAGGACUCCAGUAGGGCAUGAGAUGUCUGCUUAUAUUCGUUCCAAAGCAGUUCAUCUGGUCAUUCCAAACGUAUACUCCACCCAUGCAGAUGGUGGGGAAGGAGGAGGGUGUUUCUGAGCAAUAAUCCACGCUUGCAUUGAAGACCACGGAUAAGGUACAUGGAAGAUGCCCUUCACCCUCUCUGCAGAGG
Molecule: long non-coding RNA, 569 nt
Organism: Myotis brandtii (Brandt's bat)
Lineage: Eukaryota; Metazoa; Chordata; Mammalia; Chiroptera; Vespertilionidae
Exons: 3
Source: RefSeq, a predicted model, not a curated record